This 76-nucleotide transfer RNA is filed under the name Eunotia naegelii. RNAcentral describes it as "tRNA-Arg". It matches the Rfam family "tRNA". From Rfam's summary of the family: Transfer RNA (tRNA) molecules are approximately 80 nucleotides in length. Their secondary structure includes four short double-helical elements and three loops (D, anti-codon, and T loops). Lineage: Eukaryota; Bacillariophyta; Bacillariophyceae; Eunotiales; Eunotiaceae. The record is from RNAcentral.
UACGCUUAUAACUCAAUUGGAUAGAGUGUCGGAUUUCGGUCCCGGAAGUUACAGGUUCAACUCCUGUUAAGCGUAA